This 222-nucleotide ribosomal RNA is filed under the name uncultured Actinomycetales bacterium. Its description in RNAcentral is "partial 16S ribosomal RNA". It matches the Rfam family "Bacterial small subunit ribosomal RNA", at positions 524 to 744 of the family's 1533-position model. The record is from RNAcentral. Lineage: Bacteria; Bacillati; Actinomycetota; Actinomycetes; Actinomycetales.
UACGUAGGGUGCAAGCGUUGUCCGGAAUUACUGGGCGUAAAGAGCUCGUAGGUGGUUUGUCACGUCGUCUGUGAAAUUCCACAGCUUAACUGUGGGCGUGCAGGCGAUACGGGCUGACUUGAGUACUGUAUGGGGUAACUGGAAUUCCUGGUGUAGCGGUGAAAUGCGCAGAUAUCAGGAGGAACACCGAUGGCGAAGGCAGGUUACUGGGCAGUCACUGAC